Molecule: ribosomal RNA, 253 nt
Filed under: uncultured bacterium
Lineage: Bacteria
Description: partial 16S ribosomal RNA
Rfam family: Bacterial small subunit ribosomal RNA
Source: RNAcentral
UACAGAGGAGGCAAGCGUUGUUCGGAAUUACUGGGCGUAAAGGGCGCGUAGGCGGUUCUGUAAGUCCCGCGUGAAAUCCCCCGGCUCAACUGGGGAACUGCGCGGGAAACUGUGGGGCUAGAGUUCAGGAGAGGGAAGCGGAAUUCCGGGUGUAGCGGUGAAAUGCGUAGAUAUCCGGAGGAACACCGGUGGCGAAGGCGGCUUCCUGGACUGACACUGACGCUGAGGCGCGAAAGCUAGGGGAGCAAACGGG